AUGUCAACAUGAGCCAAUCUAGGUCUCCAAGAUAGAGCCUCCCCUCUGAUAGAACAACUAACCUUCUUCCACGAUCACGCCCUCCUAAUUCUAGUAAUAAUUACUGUCCUAGUUGGAUAUCUAAUAGUAAUAUUACUUUUUAACAACUACACAAACCGCUUUCUACUGCACGGCCAAACAAUUGAAGUAAUCUGGACUAUCCUCCCAGCCAUCGUUCUCCUAUUUAUCGCUUUCCCGUCUCUUCGGCUUCUUUACCUUCUAGAUGAAAUUAAUGAACCUGUCCUAACUUUAAAAUCCAUUGGACAUCAAUGAUACUGAAGCUACGAAUACUCUGACUUCCUAGACUUAGAUUUUGACUCCUACAUAAUUCCCACUCAUGAACUCACAAACAACGGAUUUCGACUCCUGGAUGUUGAUAACCGAGUAGUCUUACCUACAAAUUCCCAAAUCCGGGUACUAGUAACUGCCGCAGACGUUAUCCACUCAUGGACAGUCCCAGCCCUAGGAGUAAAAGUAGAUGGCACCCCAGGACGACUAAAUCAAACUAACUUCCUAAUCAACCGACCAGGACUAUUUUUCGGGCAAUGCUCUGAAAUCUGCGGAGCCAACCACAGAUUCAUACCUAUCGUAAUCGAAAGUGUACCAGUCUCCCACUUUAUUAAAUGAGUACCU
RNAcentral lists this ribosomal RNA (672 nucleotides) under Apiocera trimaculata. Its description in RNAcentral is "partial 16S ribosomal RNA". The record is from RNAcentral. Lineage: Eukaryota; Metazoa; Arthropoda; Insecta; Diptera; Apioceridae.